CGGGUCGUAAAACUCUGUCCUCAAGGAAGAUAAUGACGGUACUUGAGGAGGAAGCCCCGGCUAACUACGUGCCAGCAGCCGCGGUAAUACGUAGGGGGCUAGCGUUAUCCGGAUUUACUGGGCGUAACGGGUGCGUAGGCGGUCUUUCAAGUCAGGAGUGAAAGGCUACGGCUCAACCGUAGUAAGCUCUUGAAACUGGGAGACUUGAGUGCAGGAGAGGAGAGUGGAAUUCCUAGUGUAGCGGUGAAAUGCGUAGAUAUUAGGAGGAACA
Molecule: ribosomal RNA, 271 nt
Filed under: Clostridioides difficile
Lineage: Bacteria; Bacillati; Bacillota; Clostridia; Peptostreptococcales; Peptostreptococcaceae
Description: partial 16S ribosomal RNA
Rfam family: Bacterial small subunit ribosomal RNA
Source: RNAcentral